CAGCUGGUGCCAGCAGCCGCGGUAAUUCCAGCUCCAAUAGCGUAUAUUAAAGUUGUUGCAGUUAAAAAGCUCGUAGUUGAAUUUCGGGAUCAAUAUGUUGGUCGUGCCUUGGUACGUACUGGCGUCAUUGGUUUCUACCUUCUGAAGAACCUCGAUGUCAUUAAUUUGGUGUCUUGGGGAAUCAGGACUGUUACUUUGAAAAAAUUAGAGUGUUUAAAGCAAGCUCAUGCUUGAAUACAUUAGCAUGGAAUAAUGAAAUAGGACGUUUGAUUCUAUUUUGCUGGUUUCUAGGAUCGACGUAAUGAUUAAUAGGGAUAGUUGGGGGCAUUAGUAUUCAAUUGUCAGAGGUGAAAUUCUUGGAUUUAUUGAAGACUAACUACUGCGAAAGCAUUUGUCAAGGAUGUUUUCAUUAAUCAAGAACGAAAGUUAGGGGAUCGAAGACGAUCAGAUACCGUCGUAGUCUUAACCAUAAACUAUGCCGACUAGGGAUCGGAUGAUGUUAAUUUUUUAAUGACUCA
This 518-nucleotide ribosomal RNA is filed under the name vouchered mycorrhizae (Glomus). RNAcentral's name for it is "SSU rRNA". It matches the Rfam family "Eukaryotic small subunit ribosomal RNA", at positions 557 to 1078 of the family's 1831-position model. Lineage: Eukaryota; Fungi; Glomeromycota; Glomeromycetes; Glomerales; Glomeraceae. The record is from RNAcentral.